AGCAGCCGCGGUAAUUCCAGCUCCAAUAGCGUAUAUUAAAGUUGUUGCAGUUAAAAAGCUCGUAGUUGAAUUUCGGGAUCAAUAUGUUGGUCGUGCCUUGGUACGUACUGGCGUCAUUGGUUUCUACCUUCUGAAGAACCUCGAUGUCAUUAAUUUGGUGUCUUGGGGAAUCAGGACUGUUACUUUGAAAAAAUUAGAGUGUUUAAAGCAGGCCAACGCUUGAAUACAUUAGCAUGGAAUAAUGAAAUAGGACGUUCGAUCCUAUUUUGUUGGUUUCUAGGAUUGACGUAAUGAUUAAUAGGGAUAGUUGGGGGCAUUAGUAUUCAAUUGUCAGAGGUGAAAUUCUUGGAUUUAUUGAAGACUAACUACUGCGAAAGCAUUUGCCAAGGAUGUUUUCAUUAAUCAAGAACGAAAGUUAGGGGAUCGAAGACGAUCAGAUACCGUCGUAGUCUUAACCAUAAACUAUGCCGACUAGGGAUCGGAUGAUGUUAAUUUUUAANGACUNAUUCGCGCUUACGGG
RNAcentral lists this ribosomal RNA (520 nucleotides) under uncultured Glomus. Its description in RNAcentral is "SSU rRNA". It matches the Rfam family "Eukaryotic small subunit ribosomal RNA", at positions 569 to 1094 of the family's 1831-position model. Lineage: Eukaryota; Fungi; Glomeromycota; Glomeromycetes; Glomerales; Glomeraceae. The record is from RNAcentral.